Molecule: ribosomal RNA, 468 nt
Filed under: uncultured bacterium
Lineage: Bacteria
Description: partial 16S ribosomal RNA
Rfam family: Bacterial small subunit ribosomal RNA
Source: RNAcentral
GACGAACGCUGGCGGCGUGCUUAACACAUGCAAGUCGAACGGAAAGGCCCUGCUUUUGUGGGGUGCUCGAGUGGCGAACGGGUGAGUAACACGUGAGUAACCUGCCCUUGACUUUGGGAUAACUUCAGGAAACUGGGGCUAAUACCGGAUAGGAGCUCCUGCUGCAGGGUGGGGGUUGGAAAGUUUCGGCGGUUGGGGAUGGACUCGCCGCUUAUCAGCUUGUUGGUGGGGUAGUGGCUUACCAAGGCUUUGACGGGUAGCCGGCCUGAGAGGGUGACCGGCCACAUUGGGACGGAGAUACGGCCAAGACUCCUACGGGAGGCAGCAGUGGGGAAUGUAGCACAAUGGGAGGAAGCCUGAUGCAGCAACGCCGCGUGCGGGAUGACGGUCUGCGGGUUGUAAACCGCUUUCGCCUGUGACGAAGCGUGAGUGACGGUAAUGGGUAAAGAAGCACCGGCUAACUACGUG